UGAUGAUGGUGAGGGCAAUUUCUGACCAUACUUUUAAAUCUCUCCCAAGUUUGGUAGAUACUCUCUCUUUUCUCCUUUCUAAAACUCAAGAUCUCAUUUCUCAAGCA
Small nucleolar RNA from Capsicum annuum, 107 nucleotides. The record is from RefSeq and is a predicted model, not a curated record. Lineage: Eukaryota; Viridiplantae; Streptophyta; Magnoliopsida; Solanales; Solanaceae.